GACGAACGCUGGCGGCGUGCUUAACACAUGCAAGUCGAACGGAAAGGCCUCUUUCGGGGGGUACUCGAGUGGCGAACGGGUGAGUAACACGUGAGUAACCUGCCCUUGACUUUGGGAUAACUUCAGGAAACUGGGGCUAAAACCGGAUAGGAGCUCCUGCUGCAUGGUGGGGGUUGGGAAGUUUCGGCGGUUGGGGAUGGACUCGCGGCUUAUCAGCUUGUUGGUGGGGUAGUGGCUUAUCAAGGCUUUGACGGGUAACCGGCCUGAGAGCGUGACCGGCCACCAGGGGACUGCGAUACGCAGCAGUGGGCAACAGGGGACCGCAGGGGGGAGCAUGGCCCAACGGGCGGACGUCUGUGAAAACAGGCUCCGGAUUGGAAGGACCGUCAAGUGGGGGGAAAGGGCAGUCACCUAUGACCAAGCUUGAGUGACGGUAACGGGAAAAGAAGCACCGGCUAACUACGUG
RNAcentral lists this ribosomal RNA (466 nucleotides) under uncultured bacterium. RNAcentral's name for it is "partial 16S ribosomal RNA". It matches the Rfam family "Bacterial small subunit ribosomal RNA", at positions 28 to 507 of the family's 1533-position model. The record is from RNAcentral.